RNAcentral lists this long non-coding RNA (253 nucleotides) under Elaeis guineensis (African oil palm). RNAcentral's name for it is "long non-coding RNA (EGUI_LNC062997)". Lineage: Eukaryota; Viridiplantae; Streptophyta; Magnoliopsida; Arecales; Arecaceae. The record is from RNAcentral.
GGAGGUUCUGCCCAAAUUGCAUUUAAAUUCUGAUAAAUCAGAAUUUAAUUACAGAGAAUUUUCUAAUAAAUGCUAGAGAGUUGAUCGAGUCCCCGUGUGGAUCAACGUUGGAGGGUGAACACGUGGGCACCUUGUGGAAACCCAAACAGAUUGCUGCCGGCAACUAAGCACAAAUCAGGGUUUAGCGAUAAGAGGUAUGUUUCUAUAUCUUUUAUUUGAUAUUAAUGCAUAUUAUAUGGUUUAAUUUUUGAUA